This 609-nucleotide long non-coding RNA is filed under the name Panax ginseng (ginseng). RNAcentral's name for it is "long non-coding RNA (PGIN_LNC017609)". Lineage: Eukaryota; Viridiplantae; Streptophyta; Magnoliopsida; Apiales; Araliaceae. The record is from RNAcentral.
ACCACCAGGUAUAUGGAUAGUGUUCCAUUGAUCAUUCCACUUCUUGAGAAAAGAGUAUAGGAGCUCCACAAGAAAGCUAAAAGAAAUAAAUCAGGAACUCAGGUUUUGCAUGUGCAAACUUGUGAAUGAGGAUGAUGCUAAUACUUGGUCAUAAAUACAAACAUAGAUGCAUAAAAUUGUUGUAUGCAAUUUGGUUUCUUCUAGUUGCCAAUAAAGCUGAGGAAGAUGCCUUUUGUUUUGGGUAAUGUCAUGUCAUUUUUCAUCACAAGGGGACAAUGGGCUCUCUCUGUAUACAAAAUAUGCUCAUAACUUUUUGUGUAUCAAGUGAAAAAGAUUUUAUAUGACACUCACAUGGUGGGAUGACAAAUUUUCUGAAAUUAGAGCACUCUUUAUAUAUUUACUGCUUAAGAAUCUUUGAUGGGGCCCUCAUUCUUCAUCCUUCUAGUUUUUAUGCAGGCAUGGCCUCUAAAUUGAUAAUGCUUAAAAAUUAAAAAUAAAGAAAAAAAAAUAGUGAUAAUGAAACUAUUAAAUUGUGAGAGAAAAUAAUUGUUAUUAAGGUGAUGAUACAACGUUCCAAAUUAUCACCCUUUAUUGUACACAAAACUGGAU